Molecule: ribosomal RNA, 744 nt
Filed under: uncultured marine bacterium
Lineage: Bacteria
Description: bacterial SSU rRNA
Rfam family: Bacterial small subunit ribosomal RNA
Source: RNAcentral
GACGCUCAGGCACGAAAGCGUGGGGAGCGAACAGGAUUAGAUACCCUGGUAGUCCACGCCGUAAAACUAUGAUCACUCGUUGUUGGCAAUACACAGUCAGUGACCAAGCGAAAGCGAUAAGUGAUCCACCUGGGGAGUACGAUCGCAAGGUUGAAACUCAAAGGAAUUGACGGGGGCCCGCACAAGCGGUGGAGCAUGUGGUUUAAUUCGAUGAUACGCGAGGAACCUUACCUGGGCUCAAAUGUAAGUUGACAGUUUCUGAAAGGGAAUUUUCUUCGGACAAUUUACAAGGUGCUGCAUGGUUGUCGUCAGCUCGUGCCGUGAGGUGUCGGGUUAAGUCCCAUAACGAGCGCAACCCCUACUCUUAGUUGCCAUCAGAUAAUGCUGGGGACUCUAGGAGAACUGCCUACGCAAGUAGAGAGGAAGGUGGGGAUGACGUCAAAUCAGCACGGCCCUUACGUCCAGGGCUACACACGUGCUACAAUGGCCGGUACAGAGGGCAGCCACCUGGUGACAGGGAGCGAAUCUCUAAAGCCGGUCUCAGUUCGGAUCGAAGUCUGCAACCCGACUUCGUGAAGCUGGAAUCGCUAGUAAUCGCGCAUCAGCCAUGGCGCGGUGAAUACGUUCCCGGGCCUUGUACACACCGCCCGUCAAGCCAUGGAAGCUGGGGGUACCUGAAGUCGGUGACCAUUUAGGAGCCGCCUAGGGUAAAACUAGUGACUGGGGCUAAGUCGUAACAAGGUA